Aegilops tauschii subsp. strangulata is the source of this 1952-nucleotide long non-coding RNA. RefSeq lists it as uncharacterized. Lineage: Eukaryota; Viridiplantae; Streptophyta; Magnoliopsida; Poales; Poaceae. The record is from RefSeq and is a predicted model, not a curated record.
UUGUGCAAAACCGAAAACGCGCGUUGUCCCAGCCCACCCACCGUAUCCACACCGAUCUCUCUCUCUCGACCAGGCGAUGCGCUAGGGUUAGCGCUUCAUGCCGCCGCCCAUGGUCCGAUCACCGGCAGCCGUGGACGUCGCCUCCCUGCCUCCCCACCGGCACCCUGCUGCAAGGGGCUUCUCCCCUCGACAUUGACGCCCCGCUAGCGGCCUCCCUCCUUGACGCCGUCUCCCACACGCCCCAUGACGCUACCUCCCCACGCACUGAGUAUCUCGCGAACGACCUCGCCCGUAUCUUCCUCCACGCUGCAGUCGACGACACCCGACAAUUCGUCCCCAUUGAUUCCACGCCCGUCUCCUAGCCACUGCUCUCGAGUUCAAUGCGUCAAAUGAGAAAGGGAGAUGAUGUUGGGUAGCAAGGGCAACAGGACUUCAAUGCGGCGGCGACUUGAAGCCUUGGGCUACAGGUCGAGGCCUUCUGGCAGCGCUACUACAUGCGGCCUGUCGGCUCCGGUGGCGGCAUGUUUGGCAUCACCAGCACCUUCAUCGGCAUAUCCGAGAGCAGGCCGUGGUGGCUGCAGUGAGGGUGCGUGCGGCAGAGCAGAUGGCGUUCUGAAGAGCUACUACACCUUGGAUCCCGAUCCCUCGCUGAAGGUGCUCGAUCUUGGUGUUUGAAUGCUGCUACCGUACAGCAAGGUCUGUAGCAGCUUUUGCAAUGGAUUCCUUUUUAUGAUGGUAGAGUUUAUUUUGGUUUAGAUUUGGUAUUGUUGUUCUGUCCACUUAACCCAGUCUAUAGCAACAGAUUUUGAUGUCGUUUCCUUGCCGACAAAGGUCAUAACUUAUCACGUCUGCAAAUGAUUUUUUGGCUGUAGUAUGAAUAGAGAAGUUCGGUCAGAUGCAAGGCAUGCUUAGCAUCUCAUAGUCAUAGGCUACUCCGUUUUAACAUUGCAGCCAUCCAGGUUUUCAGUUUAAGAGAUGAUUUGGAAACUCAUCAGCAUAGAAAAUUAUUUACUCUAAUGCAGAUUACAUAUUAAGGCCUUAAUUCUUUUAUAUUUGUUUUUUUUCGAGAAUGAGUUCUUUUAUAUUUGUGCUCGUACUAGGCAAUAUAAGGUCUCCAGUGCAAGCAUUAUCCAUCUUUAGCUGCUCAUAAGCAGUAUCCAGUUGAGGACAGGUACACUCUUGCUAAGGUUAAUCUUUGAUAUAUAUAAUUCGUUGCCCAGAUAUAGUUUGCAGGUGUAUUUCCCCCCUUUUGAUCAAGAUUUCUGCAGUGCAGAAUGGCUAUUUGCAAGUGUGUUCCGGAACAAUGGCAUGGAGACAAGAGAUGGCAUCUUACGUUAAGUCUAUAGAUAUUGUGCCCCUCGUGGAGAUUAGUGUUGAAGGGUAUUAUGGUCCGUCUACUCUGGAACUUUUGCUCGUCAUCCCAGAUGAUUAUUCAGGGCAUGUUGGAACGGACUUCGUUAGGAACCAUCAAGCAUUGUGAAUUGAUUUAGCUUCAGUUCAAAUCUAUUCAGGCACUUGGGCCGAGCUUAGGAUUUUUUUUGCUAGGUUACCUGAAUCAACAGAGGAAAGUCACGUUCAAUUUGUGAACACUUGGAUGCAACAACAUAUCCACAUUCUGCUAUAUCAUCAGAAAGCAAAAACCAUGAGAGGCCACAAUAAUCAUCAAGGGAUUUCUGAAACGAGUAGAAGAUUAAUAACUUCUACGACAUCAAAGAUCUCUGUGCUUUUAGAGUAUGCACCAUAUUGAUUUACUUAUUGAUUUAUUCACACUGUAUCAGAUUUUCCUUGAAUGUGAUACUUUAUUGAUUGCACCGAACACUGGAAGCAAACUGCUUUCUUAAUUCAGGAUUAUCCUGCACCAAUUUCUGUAUAAGUUCUCCUUGAUACCAAUUUGCAUACUUGCAACUGGAAUUCGAGACACAUAUAAUUCAUAAUGAAAAUAUAUACGAGUA